This 72-nucleotide transfer RNA is filed under the name Marmota monax (woodchuck). Its description in RNAcentral is "tRNA.Ala". Lineage: Eukaryota; Metazoa; Chordata; Mammalia; Rodentia; Sciuridae. The record is from RNAcentral.
GGGAUGCAGCUCAGUGGUACAGUGUGAGCUUGGCAUGCGCAAGGCCCUGGCUUCUAUCCCCAGCACCUACCA